AUUGAACGCUGGCGGCAUGCCUUACACAUGCAAGUCGAACGGCAGCACGGACUUCGGUCUGGUGGCGAGUGGCGAACGGGUGAGUAAUACAUCGGAACGUGCCUAGUAGUGGGGGAUAACUACUCGAAAGAGUGGCUAAUACCGCAUGAGAUCUAUGGAUGAAAGCAGGGGACCUUAGGGCCUUGUGCUACUGGAGCGGCCGAUGGCAGAUUAGGUAGUUGGUGGGAUAAAAGCUUACCAAGCCGACGAUCUGUAGCUGGUCUGAGAGGAUGAUCAGCCACACUGGGACUGAGACACGGCCCAGACUCCUACGGGAGGCAGCAGUGGGGAAUUUUGGACAAUGGGGGCAACCCUGAACCAGCCACGUCGCGUGAAGGAAGACGGCCCUACGGGUUGUAAACUUCUUUUGUAUGGGAGCAAUAAGGUCUACGUGUAGAUCGAUGAGAGUACCAUACGAAUAAGCAUCGGCUAACUCCGUGCC
This 481-nucleotide ribosomal RNA is filed under the name uncultured bacterium. RNAcentral describes it as "bacterial SSU rRNA". It matches the Rfam family "Bacterial small subunit ribosomal RNA", at positions 30 to 509 of the family's 1533-position model. The record is from RNAcentral.